GAUUGUGAGGACAGGUUACCAGGAAGAUCAGGUUCUCUGAAGGUUUUAAUGCACACGUAUGCAGGCAUGCGUCACGACCAGUCUGUUUUAAAGGACAAUUCCUCAUAUCUCCACACAUGGGUCUAUUUUACAGCAACAGGUGGAACUGUGAGGCUCACCAGCUCAUUUCUUGUGCUGAAAUGAGUCAACAAGAAACGAGAGGCAAUGGUCAAAGGACUUUCUGGAAGACCCGGCCCCCGUCCGUUCCUCCAGGCUUCUCCCCUGGGAAACCCCGAGGCAGCGCUUGGAAUGAUCACAGGCCUGGGUCAGUCCACUGAGGCAGCACAAGGUUGCUUGGUAAUACAAAGAUACCGAAAUUUUAACUGUAAGACGCAGGAGAAAGACUUUUUGGCAUCACCGAGAGUUUCCAAGAGCCCUCCCUGGAACAGCGGUGUUUCUCCAAGGGUGUAGGACACCUUUUUAACUUGAGUAAAAUAACAGCCUCUGUUUGUUUGUUCUCCCUUAAGAUGUAGUUACUUCAUUUUUCCCCCUGUCUGUUCAAAAUCAAUAAACAGGAAACCAG
Molecule: long non-coding RNA, 562 nt
Organism: Bubalus bubalis (water buffalo)
Lineage: Eukaryota; Metazoa; Chordata; Mammalia; Artiodactyla; Bovidae
Exons: 2
Source: RefSeq, a predicted model, not a curated record